Molecule: non-coding RNA, 148 nt
Filed under: Nomascus leucogenys (northern white-cheeked gibbon)
Lineage: Eukaryota; Metazoa; Chordata; Mammalia; Primates; Hylobatidae
Source: Rfam by way of RNAcentral
GCCGGGCGUGGUGGCGUGCACCUGUAGUCCCAGCUACUUGGGAGGCUGAGGCAGGAGAAUCGCUUGAACCUGGGAGACGGGGGCUGCAGUGAGCCAAGAUCGCACCACUGCACUCCAGCCUGGGCUACAAAGCAAGACUCUGUCUCAA